AUGUUGCAUAGAUUGUCUAUGCCUUGAGUGUAGAGGAAGAAGUUUCCUUUCAAAUGUCAAAGGCCAAGAGGGCCCUGGCCCAGCUCCCACAGAUGCAUGGGGGAAGUGCUCUCAGCAGGGGGAGGGAGGGAAUCGGAGCAGGGCAGAAGACUACAGCUGAGCAGGAGCGCUGCCAGGAGGAGAGGUGCUUCAGCCCAAGCCCGUAGGCACCUCUGAGCGCAGGCUGCACCGCAAUUCCAGCUCCUAAGGACAGAGCCCGUCCACGGUAGCCUCCCCUGCACUCCCCGCGUUCUGGUCAGGUGCCGGCAGGCAGCGGUGAGUUGCCAGCUCCCUUGGGCUCCUGGGAUGGAUGCAUCACCAGAAGUACUGGUAGGGAUUAUCGUGGGUACCAACAGCAUGGGGCGGGGAGACCAGGCAGCAAAAAGGAAAGGGUCAUAUAAGUAGAUAAGAAUUUCUGGUUGUGAUACAUGCAGUGAAGAAGAAAUGGAAAUAAAACAACUUGGGACUGGGUACAGCAGAAGCUAAUUUAGGCACGGUGCAUGAGGAAGACACCACAUUGCUGCUGAGACCUGAACGGGAGACCCAGUCCGGUGAUCUGCGGCAGGGCCAGAGGCUGGAAGGAGUGGGAAAAGCUGUCAAACCCAAGGAGCCAGGUGUGAUGGCACAUGCCUGGAAUCCCAACACUUGGGAGGCUGAACCACAAGGAUUGUCACGUUUUCAAGGGAAGUCCUGCACCACUCAGCCACACCCCAGAACUGACUCCUUGAGAUACUAUGCAAGUAAUACAACACCUGCCCUUUCCCGAAACAAUGAGGCAU
Molecule: long non-coding RNA, 818 nt
Organism: Fukomys damarensis (Damara mole-rat)
Lineage: Eukaryota; Metazoa; Chordata; Mammalia; Rodentia; Bathyergidae
Exons: 3
Source: RefSeq, a predicted model, not a curated record